UUCGCAAUGCCCGAAAGGGUGACGAAGCGACGCCGCGUGGGUGAGGAAGGCCUUCGGGUUGUAAAGCCCUGUCAGGAGUUAAGAAAUGUAGACUCGCUAAUAUCGGGUCUAUUUGACAAAGGCUCCAAAGGAAGCCACGGCUAACUCUGUGCCAGCAGCCGCGGUAAUACAGAGGUGGCAAGCGUUGUUCGGAAUUAUUGGGCGUAAAGAGCACGUAGGUGGAUUUGUAAGUCAGACGUGAAAGCCUUCUGUUCAACGGAAGAAUUGCAUCUGAAACUACAAACCUUGAGUGUAGGAGGGGAGAAUGGAACUUCUGGUGGAGCGGUGAAAUGCGUAGAUAUCAGAAGGAACGCCGGCGGCGAAAGCGAUUCUCUGGCCUAUUACUGACACUCAGUGUGCGAAAGCUAGGGGAGCAAACGGGAUUAGAUACCCCGGUAGUCCUAGCCGUAAACGAUGGGCACUAAGUAGAGGGGUUUU
RNAcentral lists this ribosomal RNA (477 nucleotides) under Candidatus Scalindua brodae. Its description in RNAcentral is "bacterial SSU rRNA". It matches the Rfam family "Bacterial small subunit ribosomal RNA", at positions 365 to 832 of the family's 1533-position model. Lineage: Bacteria; Pseudomonadati; Planctomycetota; Candidatus Brocadiia; Candidatus Brocadiales; Candidatus Scalinduaceae. RNAcentral also lists the same sequence under 5 other names. The record is from RNAcentral.